Molecule: ribosomal RNA, 619 nt
Filed under: Bacillus sp. FJAT-4489
Lineage: Bacteria; Bacillati; Bacillota; Bacilli; Caryophanales; Bacillaceae
Description: bacterial SSU rRNA
Rfam family: Bacterial small subunit ribosomal RNA
Source: RNAcentral
AGUCGAGCGAUCGAUGGGAGCUUGCUCCCUGAGAUUAGCGGCGGACGGGUGAGUAACACGUGGGCAACCUGCCUAUAAGACUGGGAUAACUUCGGGAAACCGGAGCUAAUACCGGAUACGUUCUUUUCUCGCAUGAGAGAAGAUGGAAAGACGGUUUACGCUGUCACUUAUAGAUGGGCCCGCGGCGCAUUAGCUAGUUGGUGAGGUAAUGGCUCACCAAGGCGACGAUGCGUAGCCGACCUGAGAGGGUGAUCGGCCACACUGGGACUGAGACACGGCCCAGACUCCUACGGGAGGCAGCAGUAGGGAAUCUUCCGCAAUGGACGAAAGUCUGACGGAGCAACGCCGCGUGAACGAAGAAGGCCUUCGGGUCGUAAAGUUCUGUUGUUAGGGAAGAACAAGUACCAGAGUAACUGCUGGUACCUUGACGGUACCUAACCAGAAAGCCACGGCUAACUACGUGCCAGCAGCCGCGGUAAUACGUAGGUGGCAAGCGUUGUCCGGAAUUAUUGGGCGUAAAGCGCGCGCAGGUGGUUCCUUAAGUCUGAUGUGAAAGCCCACGGCUCAACCGUGGAGGGUCAUUGGAAACUGGGGAACUUGAGUGCAGAAGAGGAAAGUG